UACGUAGGGUGCAAGCGUUAAUCGGAAUUACUGGGCGUAAAGGGCGCGUAGGCGGUCUUGUAAGUCUCGUGUGAAAUCCCUCGGCUUAACUGAGGAACUGCACGGGAUACUGCAUGACUUGAGAUCGGGAGAGGGAAGCGGAAUUCCGGGUGUAGCGGUGAAAUGCGUAGAUAUCCGGAGGAACACCGGUGGCGAAGGCGGCUUCCUGGACCGACACUGACGCUGAGGCGCGAAAGCUAGGGGAGCAAACGGG
This 253-nucleotide ribosomal RNA is filed under the name uncultured bacterium. RNAcentral describes it as "partial 16S ribosomal RNA". It matches the Rfam family "Bacterial small subunit ribosomal RNA", at positions 524 to 776 of the family's 1533-position model. The record is from RNAcentral.